Molecule: ribosomal RNA, 491 nt
Filed under: uncultured bacterium
Lineage: Bacteria
Description: partial 16S ribosomal RNA
Rfam family: Bacterial small subunit ribosomal RNA
Source: RNAcentral
AGUGAACGCUGGCGGUAGGCCUAACACAUGGAAGUCGAACGGCAGCACAGUAAGAGCUUGCUCUUACGGGUGGCGAGUGGCGGACGGGUGAGGAAUACAUCGGAAUCUACUUUUUCGUGGGGGAUAACGUAGGGAAACUUACGCUAAUACCGCAUACGACCUACGGGUGAAAGCAGGGGAUCUUCGGACCUUGCGCGAUUGAAUGAGCCGAUGUCGGAUUAGCUAGUUGGCGGGGUAAAGGCCCACCAAGGCGACGAUCCGUAGCUGGUCUGAGAGGAUGAUCAGCCACACUGGAACUGAGACACGGUCCAGACUCCUACGGGAGGCAGCAGUGGGGAAUAUUGGACAAUGGGCGCAAGCCUGAUCCAGCCAUACCGCGUGGGUGAAGAAGGCCUUCGGGUUGUAAAGCCCUUUUGUUGGGAAAGAAAAGCAGCAGGUUAAUACCCCGCUGUUCUGACGGUACCAAAGAAUAAGCACCGGCUAACUUCGUG